GGGUUGUGAGGUUAAGCGACUAAGCGUACACGGUGGAUGCCCUGGCAGUCAGAGGCGAUGAAGGGCGUGCUAAUCUGCGAUAAGCGCCGGUAAGGUGAUAUGAACCGUUAUAACCGGCGAUACCCGAAUGGGGAAACCCAGUGUGAUUCGUCACACUAUCAUUAACUGAAUCCAUAGGUUAAUGAGGCGAACCGGGGGAACUGAAACAUCUAAGUACCCCGAGGAAAAGAAAUCAACCGAGAUUCCCCCAGUAGCGGCGAGCGAACGGGGAGGAGCCCAGAGCCUGAAUCAGCAUGUGUGUUAGUGGAAGCGUCUGGAAAGGCGCGCGAUACAGGGUGACAGCCCCGUACACAAAAGCGCAUGUGCUGUGAGCUCGAUGAGUAGGGCGGGACACGUGGUAUCCUGUCUGAAUAUGGGGGGACCAUCCUCCAAGGCUAAAUACUCCUGACUGACCGAUAGUGAACCAGUACCGUGAGGGAAAGGCGAAAAGAACCCCGGCGAGGGGAGUGAAAAAGAACCUGAAACCGUGUACGUACAAGCAGUGGGAGCCUCUUUUAUGGGGUGACUGCGUACCUUUUGUAUAAUGGGUCAGCGACUUAUAUUCUGUAGCAAGGUUAACCGAAUAGGGGAGCCGGAGGGAAACCGAGUCUUAAUUGGGCGUUAAGUUGCAGGGUAUAGACCCGAAACCCGGUGAUCUAGCCAUGGGCAGGUUGAAGGUUGGGUAACACUAACUGGAGGACCGAACCGACUAAUGUUGAAAAAUUAGCGGAUGACCUGUGGCUGGGGGUGAAAGGCCAAUCAAACCGGGAGAUAGCUGGUUCUCCCCGAAAGCUAUUUAGGUAGCGCCUCGUGAAUUCAUCUCCGGGGGUAGAGCACUGUU
Molecule: ribosomal RNA, 880 nt
Filed under: Salmonella enterica subsp. enterica serovar Umbilo
Lineage: Bacteria; Pseudomonadati; Pseudomonadota; Gammaproteobacteria; Enterobacterales; Enterobacteriaceae
Description: partial 23S ribosomal RNA
Rfam family: Bacterial large subunit ribosomal RNA
Source: RNAcentral